CGGCGUGGAUUCAGAACUCUUCAGCUGGGGAAUGGUAUUGAUGAAGAGAAAGAAGAUGAGGACUGAAUAAACUGCUGUUAGAAGGACUGGUGGUAGUGUUGUUCUUGCUGGUCGAGAGCGGACUCGAAAAUUGGUGGCCCGUAUGGGGAACCAACUACCCCAUUGAGUUCAGAACUUUCAGCAGUCAGUGGUUGCUGGCAGGGUAAGUUCACGGAAAUCCAGCAUGGGAUAGGGAUAUGCUGCUUGGUCAAGGUCGAUUUGCACAACAACAAACAGGAUAUUCACUGCAGGUGUUUGAGCAGGACCAGACGGAACCUCUUUAGGUGCUGGAGAGAUUGGUGAGACGUUGCAAGAAUGAGGCUCCUGAUCCAGUUGCCCC
This 379-nucleotide long non-coding RNA is filed under the name Mus musculus (house mouse). RNAcentral's name for it is "predicted gene, 47354". The record is from RNAcentral. Lineage: Eukaryota; Metazoa; Chordata; Mammalia; Rodentia; Muridae.